CAGUAGCGCGGGAAUACGAAGGGGGCUAGCGUUGUUCGGAAUUACUGGGCGUAAAGCGCACGUAGGCGGAUAUUUAAGUCAGGGGUGAAAUCCCAGAGCUCAACUCUGGAACUGCCUUUGAUACUGGGUAUCUUGAGUAUGGAAGAGGUGAGUGGAAUUCCGAGUGUAGAGGUGAAAUUCGUAGAUAUUCGGAGGAACACCGGUGGCGAAGGCGGCUCACUGGUCCAUUACUGACGCUGAGGUGCGAAAGCGUGGGGAGCAAACAGGAUUAGAUACCCGGGUAGUCCCUGUCUCUUAUACA
Molecule: ribosomal RNA, 301 nt
Filed under: uncultured bacterium
Lineage: Bacteria
Description: partial 16S ribosomal RNA
Rfam family: Bacterial small subunit ribosomal RNA
Source: RNAcentral